Molecule: long non-coding RNA, 227 nt
Filed under: Elaeis guineensis (African oil palm)
Lineage: Eukaryota; Viridiplantae; Streptophyta; Magnoliopsida; Arecales; Arecaceae
Description: long non-coding RNA (EGUI_LNC025406)
Source: RNAcentral
UGGUGGAUUUAAAAAUAAAUUUUUUCUAAUUAUUAAACUAUUUAUAUUAUAAUUAAUAAAUAAUAGUAUUUAAUAUAGAGUACCUUUUUAAUACUCUAUAUUAUAUAUUUUAUUCAAGAUGGACUAGUAUCCAAAUUCUUGAUUAAAUCGAUCUCCAUGUAAGUUUUUAAUUAUUACAUUUUAGACUAUUACCUCAUUUUGGUAUGUUUCUUUCAAUAUUUAUAAUG